CCCCAAAACUAAAACACAAACCUAAGCUCAGUCUCAACCUCCAUUCUCAACCCAGACUCGAGCUCCUACUCCUCCUCCUCCUCACCAUCACAAUCCUCCCUCCUCCAUUCUCCAUUCUCAGGCGGAAUCUGAAGCGCCGAGAUCCCGACCUCGAUCUAAAAUUGAAGUAACAGCUCUGAAUCCUGAGCCCGGCCUCGAUCUGAGAUUGGUAGAGUCGAAGAAAUUAAAGAGGCUCCGAAUUCUGAGCUCCCUCUCCACCUUGCUCAACAGCUCGCUCUGGUCUUCUCCGCCCUCUGCUCCUCAACCCGCCGAUUCAAUCUCCGAUCACGAAGACAACGGCUUACCAGAGGCUAGAAUUUGGGGUCGCUGACGGUCUCCGUCAAACCCUUGCCAUCCGAUUUGGUCAAAAAGCUUCUCUUCCAGCUCCUGAAGGGCGUCGACGACUGUAACGAUAACAUCAUCCUCACCGAAACCUAGACCUAAGAACCUGCUGCUUGACCAGAAACAACAGAGAAGGUCAUCCUCAAGAUUGGCGAUGGGAUCAGUCAGUCUUUUGCUUUCUUUUGCGAGUUUUUAUGCCGGAGAAGGUCACUCUCUGUUACCAGGCGCUGGAGAUUUCUUGGGUCCACAGAUUACUCGACUUGGCGGACAUUUGGGCCCUCGGCUGCAUCUUCGGUUGUGUGAAGGUGGAGAACUACUGGAUAAAAUUUUGUCCAGGGGUGGAUGAUACACAGAAGAAGAUGCUAAAGUUAUUGUUGUGCAAAUUUUAAGUGUUAUUGCCUAUUGUCAUCUUCAAGGUGUUGUGCAUCGUGAUCUAAAGCCAGAGGUACAACUACAUUCAGAGUUUCUACUUUCCACUACUUUCUUGCAUUUGGAUGGAAUAGUAUUGAAAGUCCCCUCCACAUGUAGUUUGUUUUACAUCUUCAGUUCUCGUCCGAACUUAUUACCAAUAACUCUUUUCAUUUGACUGCUUGGCAGAAUUUUCUUUUUGCCACAAGAGAAGAGGAUGCUUCAGUGAAGGUUAUUGAUUUUGGUCUCUCCGAUUUUAUAAGGCCUGGUAAUGCUUCCACAUACUAUUUUUCUUGGCUUCAAGAAUGUGUUACUGCACUUUGAUUCAUGCCUUGGACUUCUUUUGUAAUAGGCUAAUAGCUUCUUGCUUAUAUUAGUUGUGGUUGUAGUGUUUUUUUUUUUUUUUUUUUUUUUUUUUAACUCAGAUGAGCUUAAACUACAGGUUUUCUGGGAUCUUUGGAGGCAUUAAAGAAUUACUUUGACUGCUUACUUAUAUAAAUUUUAAAACAAGUUUGAGUUUUUAUAUUUUAUCUUACUGAUAAAGACUGUAGUAUUUUAAAGUAGGAUUUUAUUCUGUGUAAUUUAUAAACUGUUGAAGGGAAUACAAUUUCUUGCCACCACUAUUAGACUAUUUAACUAUAGGAGGAUCUCUUUGGUAUGUAUAUCUGUCAUGUUUAGUGGAUAGUUCAUUAGAUAAUGAUGUUGUCUGUGGCACUUUGCAAUUUCACUUCCUCUCUGUGCAUAUAUCUGUUCAGCACUUUUACUAAAAUUAUGAACCGCAGGUAAUGCUAGCCUUCUUUUCGUCGGGCAUGAAUUUGUUGUCAGGUCUUGGUGCAAAGAUUGAGAGAGAGUCCAAGCUGAAGCUCAAUGACUUUGACAAGUCUUGGUGCAAAGAUUGUCAGGUCAUUCAAUAUUGUGGACUUGUCAAGUAGAUAUGCUUCACUAUCAUGCUUAUCUACAUUUUCAGGCUUUUAAGAAAAUACUUGCUGAAAAUACAUUUUCAGGCCCUUAACUUGCUUUUUUUUUUUCUUUGUUUUUUUAGUAAAAUGUAGGAACCCCCAGUAUUAUAGUCUAUUUAAACCAUGAUGCAUAUGGAACUCCCACACAUAAAUGUCUUCUAUAAGAUUGAUUUGAUACAGAACUAUGGAAAGCUAGGUAAUGGCUGCAACUUUCUUCUCUCUUUUUUUUUCCUUUGCUUACACAUGGCUUGCAAUGUAACUGUGUGGAAAGGUGAUAUGAUAUUAUGGGGUUUUGCUGCAUUUGGAAAGGAGUUUGCCUGCAAUUUCAUGUCUUUGCUUUUGACACAGGUACUUGCAUGAACUUCUUACUCAAAGAGAUGAAUUUGACACCAUUGCUUUGUUGAUCCGGCAUCUACAUAUAAUUGUGAAAGACCAGACUUUGUACAUAUUGAAGUGGCUGAUUAUAUACAGAGUUUGGCUACCAACAUGAUUUUGAGUAUGACUAGUUUUUGCUUUGAAGUAAAGUUUGGGGUUGAACUUUUGUAGUUAGUUGCUAAUAUGUUUAUGAGGAUUUGUAGGUUUUGAGGAUUUAUUUUGUGAAUUAUAUAGAAUCAUGAAUGAAGAUGAGAAAAUUAAUGGAAAGCCCCAA
Long non-coding RNA from Rosa rugosa (rugosa rose), 2397 nucleotides. RefSeq lists it as uncharacterized. The transcript is spliced from 3 exons. Lineage: Eukaryota; Viridiplantae; Streptophyta; Magnoliopsida; Rosales; Rosaceae. The record is from RefSeq and is a predicted model, not a curated record.